CAAAGGGGGCAACCUGAAUCCAAGCCUGCCGCGUGUGUGAAGAAGGCCUUCGGAUUGUAAAGCACUUUCAGCGAGGAGGAAGGUGUUUAGCCUAAUACCUUAGUGUUUUGACGUUACCCACAGAAUAAGCACCGGCUAACUCUGUGCCAGCAGCCGCGGUAAUACAGAGGGUGCAAGCGUUAAUCGGAAUUACUGGGCGUAAAGCGCACGUAGGUGGUUUGUUAAGUUGGAUGUGAGGGCCCCGGGCUCAACCUGGGA
This 258-nucleotide ribosomal RNA is filed under the name uncultured bacterium. RNAcentral's name for it is "partial 16S ribosomal RNA". It matches the Rfam family "Bacterial small subunit ribosomal RNA", at positions 369 to 619 of the family's 1533-position model. The record is from RNAcentral.